Molecule: long non-coding RNA, 774 nt
Filed under: Homo sapiens (human)
Lineage: Eukaryota; Metazoa; Chordata; Mammalia; Primates; Hominidae
Description: HSALNT0290745
Source: RNAcentral
UGCCCUCACAAUCCUUAAAAGGUGAGACCCGUGGCCCUGGGGUCCUGCGGUCUGGCGGGCUUGGGAUGGUACCUCUGUGGCAUCAGCAUUGAGUAAGCAUGCCCUCAAGCCUUGAUCAUCACUGCGACAACCACAGCUGCAUUUCUGAGUGCCAUCUGGGGGACACCAUGCCAGUAAAAUAGGGAGCAGAACAGAACCUUCCUCCCCUGGCUGGGGGGCGGUCCGUGUGAAGUUCUUGGUGUCCAGUGGUGAGCAUGAGCCGUCCCUGCGAUGCCAAGCCUCUCCUUGCUGACGGCGGGGAUUGACGAUCCAGCUUAUGUGCCCUGCUCCCCUCUGCCUGCCCCUUCUCCCUGUCCCCAGGUCUCCCCUGUGGUGGGGGAUGCAGGUCCCGUUUUCCUAUGGGGCACUGGCUUUGGAGACCACCCCUGCCCCGACCCCUGUUCUCUGAUUCUAUCUAAGUGCUUAAUCUCUCCCCCCGACCCCUAUCCUCUGAUUCUAUCUAAGUGCCUAAUCUUUCCCAGCGGCAGCCCUGGGAGACAUCUCCUCUCUCGCUAUGGGGCUGCUGGGAUCUGUCUUCCCAACCUGACACUUCACAAGUCUGUCCCCUCUACUUUAUCCUCCCCCUAAGUAAAACUCCUUAAAACCGCGUUCCUGGAGCCGUCUGUUUUCCCUCCCCUGACGACACCUGGCUGCCUUCCUCCAGCCUGCGCCCCCUAGUCUCCCUCUUAUCUAAAUCCCAAGCCCUCCUGUCUCUCUUUGGGAGAUAAGGGUUCC